Molecule: ribosomal RNA, 532 nt
Filed under: uncultured bacterium
Lineage: Bacteria
Description: partial 16S ribosomal RNA
Rfam family: Bacterial small subunit ribosomal RNA
Source: RNAcentral
UGGGGAAUAUUGCACAAUGGGCGCAAGCCUGAUGCAGCCAUGCCGCGUGUGUGAAGAAGGCCUUCGGGUUGUAAAGCACUUUCAGCGAGGAGGAAGGUGGUGAGCUUAAUAUGCUCAUCAAUUGACGUUACUCGCAGAAGAAGCACCGGCUAACUCCGUGCCAGCAGCCGCGGUAAUACGGAGGGUGCAAGCGUUAAUCGGAAUUACUGGGCGUAAAGCGCACGCAGGCGGUUUGUUAAGUCAGAUGUGAAAUCCCCGGGCUCAACCUGGGAACUGCAUUUGAAACUGGCAAGCUAGAGUCUCGUAGAGGGGGGUAGAAUUCCAGGUGUAGCGGUGAAAUGCGUAGAGAUCUGGAGGAAUACCGGUGGCGAAGGCGGCCCCCCUGGACGAAGACUGACGCUCAGGUGCGAAAGCGUGGGGCAGCAAACAGGAUUAGAUACCCCUGGUAGUCCACGCUGUAAACGAUGUCGAUUUUGGAGGUUGUGCCCCUUGAGGCGUGGCUUCCGGAGCUAACGCGUUAAAUCGACCGCCU